RNAcentral lists this ribosomal RNA (1200 nucleotides) under Triticum aestivum (bread wheat). RNAcentral describes it as "partial small subunit ribosomal RNA". Lineage: Eukaryota; Viridiplantae; Streptophyta; Magnoliopsida; Poales; Poaceae. The record is from RNAcentral.
AUGGUCUCACAGUUACAACAAUCACUCUUACAAGAUACAAGGAACCAUUCAUUUCAUUCACUUCUGAAGCAGCUGGUGAUAUUGAUGCAUACUGAUAUGUCACAUGUUCAAAACCUUGAAAGUGCUCUAGAAAGGGAGAAAGAUGAAGUACCGAUAAAAGAGGAUAUCAUCAAGGCAUGGAUAUACCGUCAUGAGCAUAUGAUGAGACUCAUGUAUGAAAGGAGCAUUGGACUGCCGCUGGUUCCACCGUCGGGACUUAGUCAACUUACUCUUUCUUCAUGCAGUAUUACAGAUGAAGCUUUAGCUAUUUGUCUUGAUGGCCUGGCUUCACUGCAAAUAUUGAUCCUUUCAAAGAUUAUGACUUUAACUAAACUUCCUUCAAAAGAGAUCCUCCAACGUUUGACAAAACUUAACUUCUUGCGAGUCGGAUAUUGCUGGUGCCUCUGGUCAUUAGGGGGCUUACGAGUUGUUACCUCUGUUUCAGCUGUUGAAUUGUUUUCCUGCCCUUCUUUAGGGUUGGCACAUGGAGCUGAAUGUUUGCCAUUAUCCCUUGAAAGCCUCACUAUAAAGAAUUGCGUGCUUGCAGCUGACUUCCUCUGUACUGAUUGGCCACAAAUGAAGAAUAUUCACAUAGCCAAUUGCAGAACCACCCCAUGUUUGUCUAUUGAUAGUCUCACCUCUGUUAAAUCACUCUCACUGCUUCACUUGCCAGAUUUAUGUACGCUCGAAGGAUUGCCUUCCCUGCUGCAUCUUUCCAGCGUAGGUUUGAUUGAUGUUCCGAAACUCACCCCCGAGUGUGUCUUACAGUUUCGAGUCCAGCGCACACUUGAUGUUAGCAGUCCAGUAAUACUCAACACCAUGCUCUCGGCUGAUGGUUUUACAGUUACAUCACUCACUCUUAUAGGAUGCAAGGAACCAUUCAUUUUAUUAGAAGAAUCAGCAAAUUUCACAUCUGUCAUGGGCCUGUGUUUCAUUGAUUGUCAAAUGAUUUCCCUGCCAACAAAUCUGAGGUCUUUCUCCAAUCUGAAGACGCUUGACAUCUUUAGGUGCCCAAACAUAUCAUCUUUACCAGAUCUGCCAUCCUCCCUCCAGGAGAUACGUGUAUUGGGUUGUUCUGAGCUAUUGAAUGAGAGCUGCCAAGCACCUGAUGGAGAAAGUUGGCCAAAGAUCGCGCAUAUCCGCCGGAAGCUAUUUGAAUGA